GGAAGACCACGUUCAUCUGAGCCAGCAACGCCGGCUUUCAGGGGAGCCCCUGAGACCUGGUGCCCGCAGCUCACAGAUUCAGGCUGGCUCACUGGGGCUGCCCCUGUGCCCAUGAUGGGGAUGGGGAUGCCGAGGCCCAGUGGAAUCUCCCAGGCCCAGGAUGCCGGUAGCAAUGGCUGUCCUUGCCCCAUGCUCCAGGUUUGCUAGAAUGGCUCACAGAGCUCAGGAAAACACUGCCAACAGCCACAUGGAGGGAGAUGCUGAAGGCAGGGUGUGGAGAACAGCGCCGGGCGCCCAUGCCCUUCUCCAGAUGUGCCCCCUCCCACACGCCAUGUGCGGUUUCGGGGUGUUUAUGGAGGUUCCGUUAGCAGGUUUUUGCCAGGGCAGUUCUUCAUCUCUCCUGAUAACGGACGUCUUCAAGUCUCAAGACUCUUCCAGCGACCACCUCCUCCCAGCAACCUGCCCGGUCAGACCCUACUUCUGAGUUGGCUCGGGCUAGGGGUGCCCCAGUCUCCUUCCGGCUCCCCCACACUGGAGUCCCUUGAGGACAAAGCCUGGAACCGGAGCCUUGGAGCCCCCAACCUCCAAGGCCAGGCCCUGACCAUGUUUCCUGCGAGCGUUCCCAACUAUCCACCUUUUGGGUCAGCUCCAGUGGUGGAAACUUUCCAGCCGGAGGAGGCCGCUUGUUUUGGAAAGUUCCUGGGGGAGCCGCCCCCGCCCGCCCGCCGGGUUCCCACGCUCCCUUAUCACUGGGUGCUAGGGGGGCGCAGUGCUGUGCCUGCCUAGCUCCUCCCCAGCUGACCUCCUUGGCCCUGCCCCCUCCCUUCCCCUCCUCUCCCCACCGAACACUGGCCCCCUUCAGCCAGGCCCUGCCAAGCCCUCCUGCUACAGGUAGGGAAACCCAGGCCUCGCAGCGCCGCCUACACACUCCGUGUGAGCCCUGUCAGGCGUGCCUGGUGGGGUAGUCCCGCUCAGGAAGGGGGAGCAGAGGCGGCCGCUGCUGGGGGAGGGCCUGGCUGUGGAGUCUGAGCCCCGGCUCAGUCUUUGGCUCCAGUUUGCGCUGCAGUGUCUCGGACCCAGGUGCCCAGCCCUCCUGCCCAGCUCCACCUCCUGCCUGGUGGCUGGGCCUGGCGCUCUCUUC
This 1141-nucleotide long non-coding RNA is filed under the name Ursus maritimus (polar bear). RNAcentral's name for it is "lncRNA (ENSUMAG00000008998.1)". The record is from RNAcentral. Lineage: Eukaryota; Metazoa; Chordata; Mammalia; Carnivora; Ursidae.